Molecule: long non-coding RNA, 846 nt
Filed under: Bos taurus (domestic cattle)
Lineage: Eukaryota; Metazoa; Chordata; Mammalia; Artiodactyla; Bovidae
Description: long non-coding RNA NONBTAT015095
Source: RNAcentral
GGAAGAAUUUAGAUUUUCAAGGACUCAGUCUCAAUUCUCUCAAUUGUUUGAUAGCUGAUAUUUUCUCCCUGUGCAGAAAGCCUUGUGAAAUGUUACAGAUUUCUUUUUCUAUUUCACAGUGAAAGUAAGACAGGUGAACCUAAGUGCACAAGUGAAGAACAGCCGGGAUUGUAGAUUCCAUCCUGAAAUGCCCUGGGGUCUGAUUAUGGGAUGCAGGGUCCUCGGAGGGAGCUCUGAGGCCUUAUAAAUGCCGUGUGGCCAUCAGACUAUGCAUAUACACUAGUAAUUUGCAAAUAGGGACUUUCCUUCUCCCAUCCACAAAUUAGAUUUUUGUUUUUUGAAACUAUGAAUAUCAUACCUAUCUGGAAUGAAUGACAUGUAAAAUGGGAAAAAUCAUUUUCUCAACUCUCUGAAAUGUGAAAAUACAGUGAGAUCAACAAAGCGACCGUGUUGUGAAUGCAGUCGUGGGAGUGUAUGUGUGCAAAUGGAUAAAGCCACCUGUGUUGCCACAGAAUGAGUUCUGCUCCCCUUCCACGUGGGGGCCGUACAGCCCUCUGUGUCCCUGCUGUCCUAUUUCCUGGGCUCCCCAACAGCUACUGAGCUGGUGCUUCUGAGAACAGAGAAAGAGUCUGACCUUUGUUAGAAACUUUUGGGCUUCCGAGUGUCAGUGUCUACAUCUGACGGUUUUUUAAAAAGCAAAGUACCAGCGAAUGAAGUGUGACUGAUAUUGACAGACUUCUAAAAUCCCACUAUUUACACUUUCCAGAAUGGAUACUGUUGAGAAAUAAAUGAGAACAGUGUCUCAUCAGUUCUGUUAGACACUCUCACACCAUGUGGAAUGUGAUG